Long non-coding RNA from Lycium barbarum (goji berry), 715 nucleotides. RefSeq lists it as uncharacterized. The record is from RefSeq and is a predicted model, not a curated record. Lineage: Eukaryota; Viridiplantae; Streptophyta; Magnoliopsida; Solanales; Solanaceae. The transcript has 2 exons.
UAACUCGUAGAAAUUAGUUUAGUUCGAUUUUGAGUAUGUUUGGUAUGUUUCGGACAAUUAAAAGUAAAAUUGAUGAGGACAGAUUUGAAACAGUUAUAAAAAAUAUCAAGCUCACCCCAAUUGUGUUAUAACAGAAAUCUAGUGUAAACUCUUCAUUAUUCUGGGAUUUUCAGAGCAUAGCUUGUGGAGGGAAGGGGAAAAUAUUGGGAAUCAAGGAGAAAGAUUGAGUUGAGCAACGUGGUGUUGAAAAAUGAGUGGAAGUAUCUGCAUCAUUUCUCUUCAAGAUUGGACUUAGAGCAUAUAUUCAGACUCCUCUAGGUGAGGACUAUCCAUUGAAGUGUGUUUGGCGAAUUCAGAGCGGGCCGACAGGAAGUUAACCCGAGCAAUCAAAGUUUGACUUUGUCUGGAAUCCCAAAAUCAAAAAAUGAUUGUUAUUAUGUUCUGAGCAUGAUUUUGAAUAGAUGAAGGCCGUUGGAGUUCGUUCGGAACAGGUUGAACAUUUCAAGUGAAGUAAAGCUUGUCUAUUUCGAGGCAAGUGAGACCUUAACUUCUCGAAUACUUGUUUUUCUAAUGUCAUGAUUUAAAACUUAGCAUUAUUUGAUUUACAAAAACUUAGUGCAUUGUAGGACAACCGUAGACUAAAUUUUGUAUAAUUUUACGGCAAAUAUUGUGAUUUGGAUUGUUUCUUCGAUGAAUUCAUACUGAUUGCUUUCAA